Molecule: ribosomal RNA, 497 nt
Filed under: uncultured bacterium
Lineage: Bacteria
Description: bacterial SSU rRNA
Rfam family: Bacterial small subunit ribosomal RNA
Source: RNAcentral
CGGCGUGCCUAACACAUGCAAGUCGAGCGGGGACGAUUCGACGGACCGGAAGUUUCGAAUGGAAGGGAAGAUGAAUGUCUAGCGGCGGACGGGUGAGUAACGCGUGAGCAACCUGUCCUUCACAGGGGGAGUAACACAGCGAAAGUUGUACUAAUACCGUAUAAGACCACGGCGGGGCAUCCCGAAGGGGUCAAAGGAGCAAUCCGGUGAAGGGUGGGCUCGCGUCCGAUUAGAUAGUUGGUGAGGUAACGGCCCACCAAGUCGACGAUCGGUAGCCGACCUGAGAGGGUGAUCGGCCACAUUGGACUGAGACACGGCCCAAACUCCUACGGGAGGCAGCAGUGGGGAAUAUUGGGCAAUGGGGGGAAAAACCCCCGUGACCCGGCAACGCCGCGUGAGGGAAGAAGGUUUUCGGAUCGUAAACCUCUGUCCUUGGUGAAGAGGAAGAGACGGUAGCCAAGGAGGGAAGCCCCGGCUAACUACGUGCCAGCAGCUGC